AGGUUUAACACAUGCAAGUCGAGGGGCAGCAUGGUCUUAGCUUGCUAAGGCCGAUGGCGACCGGCGCACGGGUGAGUAACACGUAUCCAACCUGCCGUCUACUCUUGGACAGCCUUCUGAAAGGAAGAUUAAUACAAGAUGGCAUCAUGAGUCCGCAUGUUCACAUGAUUAAAGGUAUUCCGGUAGACGAUGGGGAUGCGUUCCAUUAGAUAGUAGGCGGGGUAACGGCCCACCUAGUCUUCGAUGGAUAGGGGUUCUGAGAGGAAGGUCCCCCACAUUGGAACUGAGACACGGUCCAAACUCCUACGGGAGGCAGCAGUGAGGAAUAUUGGUCAAUGGGCGAGAGCCUGAACCAGCCAAGUAGCGUGAAGGAUGACUGCCCUAUGGGUUGUAAACUUCUUUUAUAAAGGAAUAAAGUCGGGUAUGGAUACCCGUUUGCAUGUACUUUAUGAAUAAGGAUCGGCUAACUCCGUGCCAGCAGCCGCGGUAAUACGGAGGAUCCGAGCGUUAUCCGGAUUUAUUGGGUUUAAAGGGAGCGUAGAUGGAUGUUUAAGUCAGUUGUGAAAGUUUGCGGCUCAACCGUAAAAUUGCAGUUGAUACUGGAUAUCUUGAGUGCAGUUGAGGCAGGCGGAAUUCGUGGUGUAGCGGUGAAAUGCUUAGAUAUCACGAAGAACUCCGAUUGCGAAGGCAGCCUGCUAAGCUGCAACUGACAUUGAGGCUCGAAAGUGUGGGUAUCAAACAGGAUUAGAUACCCUGGUAGUCCACACGGUAAACGAUGAAUACUCGCUGUUUGCGAUAUACUGCAAGCGGCCAAGCGAAAGCGUUAAGUAUUCCACCUGGGGAGUACGCCGGCAACGGUGAAACUCAAAGGAAUUGACGGGGGCCCGCACAAGCGGAGGAACAUGUGGUUUAAUUCGAUGAUACGCGAGGAACCUUACCCGGGCUUAAAUUGCAGAUGAAUUACGGUGAAAGCCGUAAGCCGCAAGGCAUCUGUGAAGGUGCUGCAUGGUUGUCGUCAGCUCGUGCCGUGAGGUGUCGGCUUAAGUGCCAUAACGAGCGCAACCCUUGUUGUCAGUUACUAACAGGUUCCGCUGAGGACUCUGACAAGACUGCCAUCGUAAGAUGUGAGGAAGGUGGGGAUGACGUCAAAUCAGCACGGCCCUUACGUCCGGGGCUACACACGUGUUACAAUGGGGGGUACAGAGGGCCGCUACCACGCGAGUGGAUGCCAAUCCCCAAAACCUCUCUCAGUUCGGACUGGAGUCUGCAACCCGACUCCACGAAGCUGGAUUCGCUAGUAAUCGCGCAUCAGCCACGGCGCGGUGAAUACGUUCCCGGGCCUUGUACACACCGCCCGUCAAGCCAUGGGAGCCGGGGGUACCUGAAGUGCGUAACCGCGAGGAGCGCCCUAGGGUAAAACUGGUGACUGGGGCUAAA
This 1437-nucleotide ribosomal RNA is filed under the name uncultured bacterium. Its description in RNAcentral is "bacterial SSU rRNA". It matches the Rfam family "Bacterial small subunit ribosomal RNA". The record is from RNAcentral.